AUUGAACGCUGGCGGCAGGCCUAACACAUGCAAGUCGAGCGGAUGAAGGGAGCUUGCUCCUGGAUUCAGCGGCGGACGGGUGAGUAAUGCCUAGGAAUCUGCCUGGUAGUGGGGGAUAACGUCCGGAAACGGGCGCUAAUACCGCAUACGUCCUGAGGGAGAAAGUGGGGGAUCUUCGGACCUCACGCUAUCAGAUGAGCCUAGGUCGGAUUAGCUAGUUGGUGGGGUAAAGGCCUACCAAGGCGACGAUCCGUAACUGGUCUGAGAGGAUGAUCAGUCACACUGGAACUGAGACACGGUCCAGACUCCUACGGGAGGCAGCAGUGGGGAAUUUUGGACAAUGGGCGAAAGCCUGAUCCAGCCAUGCCGCGUGUGUGAAGAAGGUCUUCGGAUUGUAAAGCACUUUAAGUUGGGAGGAAGGGCAGUAAGUUAAUACCUUGCUGUUUUGACGGUACCAACAGAAUAAGCACCGGCUAACUUCGUG
Molecule: ribosomal RNA, 484 nt
Filed under: uncultured bacterium
Lineage: Bacteria
Description: partial 16S ribosomal RNA
Rfam family: Bacterial small subunit ribosomal RNA
Source: RNAcentral